UACGUAGGUGGCAAGCGUUGUCCGGAAUUACUGGGUGUAAAGGGAGCGCAGGCGGGACUGCAAGUCAGUGGUGAAAUGUAUGGGCUUAACCCAUAAAUUGCCAUUGAAACUGCGGUUCUUGAGUGGAUCAGAGGCAAGCGGAAUUCCGAGUGUAGCGGUGAAAUGCGUAGAUAUUCGGAGGAACACCAGUGGCGAAGGCGGCUUGCUGGGGUCUAACUGACGCUGAGGCUCGAAAGUGUGGGGAGCAAACAGGAUUAGAUACCCUGGUAGUCCACACUGUAAACGAUGAUUACUAGGUGUGGGGGGUCUGACCCCCUCCGUGCCGGAGUUAACGCAAUAAGUAAUCCACCUGGGGAGUACGGCCGCAAGGUUGAA
Molecule: ribosomal RNA, 375 nt
Filed under: uncultured bacterium
Lineage: Bacteria
Description: bacterial SSU rRNA
Rfam family: Bacterial small subunit ribosomal RNA
Source: RNAcentral